GUACACUUCUGCGGGAGGCAGCAGUGGGGAAUAUUGCACAAUGGGCGCAAGCCUGAUGCAGCCAUGCCGCGUGUAUGAAGAAGGCCUUCGGGUUGUAAAGUACUUUCAGCGGGGAGGAAGGCAAUACGGUUAAUAACCGUGUUGAUUGACGUUACCCGCAGAAGAAGCACCGGCUAACUCCGUGCCAGCAGCCGCGGUAAUACGGAGGGUGCAAGCGUUAAUCGGAAUUACUGGGCGUAAAGCGCACGCAGGCGGUCUGUCAAGUCGGAUGUGAAAUCCCCGGGCUCAACCUGGGAACUGCAUUCGAAACUGGCAGGCUUGAGUCUUGUAGAGGGGGGUAGAAUUCCAGGUGUAGCGGUGAAAUGCGUAGAGAUCUGGAGGAAUACCGGUGGCGAAGGCGGCCCCCUGGACAAAGACUGACGCUCAGGUGCGAAAGCGUGGGGAGCAAACAGGAUUAGAUACCCUAGUAGUCCC
RNAcentral lists this ribosomal RNA (474 nucleotides) under uncultured organism. Its description in RNAcentral is "partial 16S ribosomal RNA". It matches the Rfam family "Bacterial small subunit ribosomal RNA", at positions 331 to 797 of the family's 1533-position model. The record is from RNAcentral.